GGGUGCUUGAAGCUGUCUGCUUUGGGCAUUGUUUGAAUCAGUGCUGUAAGUGCCUUGGUAAAAAACAGUUGUUGUCAUAAAGCAGAUAGGAAAAAGCCCCGUACUGAAGUUAAUCAAUACGAGGCUCCCUAAUGCCUAGCAACAUUACGGUAGCUUCUUACCUGCUGAAAGGCAAGACAUGGAGGCCAAAUAUG
Yersinia intermedia ATCC 29909 is the source of this 194-nucleotide non-coding RNA. The record is from Rfam. NCBI's taxonomy places the organism in Bacteria, Pseudomonadati, Pseudomonadota, Gammaproteobacteria, Enterobacterales, Yersiniaceae.